AUCGAAGAGUGUUUGAUAGAAGAGGAGGUAUUGGCGUGUCUCAAUUUAAGGACGUGGUUGGAUAUUGUCAACAGCUAUGUAAUUUGAUUGAGCCGCGUCAAUAUCUCCUUGUGCUUCAAGCACUCAAACGAAU
This 133-nucleotide microRNA precursor is filed under the name Asparagus officinalis (garden asparagus). The record is from RNAcentral. Lineage: Eukaryota; Viridiplantae; Streptophyta; Magnoliopsida; Asparagales; Asparagaceae.